GGGACACAGAGUGCCCAGGGCCCUUCAGCCUUCACUAAAGGCAGGGCUCCAGAGCAUGUCCUGCUGGCAGCUUGGUCUCAGUUCUACUGCUUUUAUUGGUCUCAGUUUUAUUGCUCUCCAGCUGAAAGAGGUCCAAGGAGUCGAGUAACACGAACUGAGGAGUUCACUCCUCUGCUUUUGGAGUCCUCAUCACAGAUGGCAGGUUCAGGAGAAGCUGCCAGUGGUGCCUAAUGAAGAGAACUCAAGGUAAAUUAUGCCUCUUGUCAGUUAAUUCAAAUUUUGUGCUGGCAUUCAGAAGAGAUCCGUCUCAUCCCAUAAACAUUAUUAGCA
This 330-nucleotide long non-coding RNA is filed under the name Serinus canaria (Common canary). Its description in RNAcentral is "lncRNA (ENSSCAG00000008903.1)". Lineage: Eukaryota; Metazoa; Chordata; Aves; Passeriformes; Fringillidae. The record is from RNAcentral.